This 257-nucleotide ribosomal RNA is filed under the name uncultured prokaryote. RNAcentral describes it as "partial 16S ribosomal RNA". It matches the Rfam family "Bacterial small subunit ribosomal RNA", at positions 524 to 780 of the family's 1533-position model. The record is from RNAcentral.
UACGGAGGAUGCAAGCGUUAUCCGGAUUUAUUGGGUUUAAAGGGUGCGCAGGUUGUUUGAUAAGUCAGUGGUGAAAGUCUGUCGCUUAACGGUAGGAUUGCCAUUGAUACUGUUAGACUUGAAUAUGGAUGAGGUAGGCGGAAUGUGUAGUGUAGCGGUGAAAUGCAUAGAUAUUACACAGAACACCGAUUGCGAAGGCAACUUACUAAUCCAUCAUUGACGCUGAGGCACGAAAGCGUGGGGAUCAAACAGGAUUA